RNAcentral lists this ribosomal RNA (326 nucleotides) under uncultured eukaryote. Its description in RNAcentral is "partial 18S ribosomal RNA". It matches the Rfam family "Eukaryotic small subunit ribosomal RNA", at positions 1470 to 1796 of the family's 1831-position model. The record is from RNAcentral.
CCCUUAGAUGUUCUGGGCUGCACGCGCGCUACACUGAAGCGUUCAACGAGUAUUCACCUUGCCCGGGAGGGUUGGGUAAUCUUUUUAAAACGCUUCGUGAUGGGGAUAGAUUAUUGCAAUUAUUAAUCUUCAACGAGGAAUUCCUAGUAAGCGCGAGUCAUCAGCUCGUGCUGAUUACGUCCCUGCCCUUUGUACACACCGCCCGUCACUCCUACCGAUUGAGUGAUCCGGUGAAUAAUUCGGACUGCAGCAGUGCUUGGUCCUCCGGGCUUUGCAGCGGAAAGUUUAGUGAACCUUAUCACUUAGAGGAAGGAGAAGUCGUAACA